RNAcentral lists this ribosomal RNA (678 nucleotides) under uncultured Acidobacteriota bacterium. RNAcentral describes it as "SSU rRNA". It matches the Rfam family "Bacterial small subunit ribosomal RNA", at positions 245 to 915 of the family's 1533-position model. The record is from RNAcentral. Lineage: Bacteria; Pseudomonadati; Acidobacteriota.
CUAGUUGGUAAGGUAACGGCUUACCAAGGCGACGAUCCGUAGCCGGCCUGAGAGGGCGGUCGGCCACACUGACACUGACAUACGGGUCAGACUCCUACGGGAGGCAGCAGUCGGGAAUUUUGGGCAAUGGGCGAAAGCCUGACCCAGCAACGCCGCGUGAAGGAUGAAAUCCUUCGGGAUGUAAACUUCGCAAGAAUGGGAAGAAUAAGUAGGGGACAAUACCCCCUAUGAUGACGGUACCAUUUGUAAGCUCCGGCUAACUCCGUGCCAGCAGCCGCGGUAAUACGGGGGGAGCAAGCGUUGUUCGGAUUUACUGGGCGUAAAGGGCGCGUAGGCGGCCAGCGCAAGUCAGUUGUGAAAUCUCCGGGCUUAACUCGGAAAGGUCAACUGAUACUGCGCGGCUAGAGUGCAGAAGGGGCAACUGGAAUUCUCGGUGUAGCGGUGAAAUGCGUAGAUAUCGAGAGGAACACCUGCGGCGAAGGCGGGUUGCUGGGCUGACACUGACGCUGAGGCGCGAAAGCCAGGGGAGCGAACGGGAUUAGAUACCCCGGUAGUCCUGGCCUUAAACGAUGGAUGCUUGGUGUCUGGGGUUUUAUAGUCCCCGGGUGCCGCAGCUAACGCGUUAAGCAUCCCGCCUGGGGAGUACGGUCGCAAGACUGAAACUCAAAGGAAUUGACG